UAGACUGGGACAACUAUUGGAAACGAUAGCUAAUACCGGAUAACAGUAUUUCUCGCAUGAGAGAUAUUUAAAAGUUGGUUAUGCUAACACUAUGAGAUGGCUUUGCGGUGCAUUAGCUAGUUGGUGGGGUAAAGGCCUACCAAGGCGACGAUGCAUAGCCGACCUGAGAGGGUGAUCGGCCACACUGGGACUGAGACACGGCCCAG
Molecule: ribosomal RNA, 206 nt
Filed under: uncultured bacterium
Lineage: Bacteria
Description: partial 16S ribosomal RNA
Rfam family: Bacterial small subunit ribosomal RNA
Source: RNAcentral